This 1091-nucleotide long non-coding RNA is filed under the name Haliotis rubra (blacklip abalone). RNAcentral's name for it is "uncharacterized LOC124278067, transcript variant X2". Lineage: Eukaryota; Metazoa; Mollusca; Gastropoda; Lepetellida; Haliotidae. The record is from RNAcentral.
UUAGGGAAGGAGGUGUGUUGAUGUGUGUGUACGUGUGUUUUGGAUGGGGAAGGAGGUGUGUUGCUGUGUGUGUAUGUGUGUGUUAGAUGAGGGAAGGAGGUGUGUUGAUGUGUGUGUACGUGUGUGGUGGAUGGGGGAAGGAGGUGUGUUGCUGCCUGUAUACGUGUGUGUUGGAUAGGGGAAGAAGGUGUGUUGAUAUGUGCGUAUGUGUGUGUUGGGUGAGGGAAGGAGGUGUGUUGCUGUGUGUGUACGUGUGUGUUGGGUGAGGGAAGGAGGUGUGUUGCUGUGUGUGUACGUGUGUGUUUGGUGAGGGAAGGAGGUGUGUUGCUGUUUGUGUAAGUGUGUGUUGGAUGGGGGAAGGAGGUGUGUUCCUGUGUCUGUAAGUGUGUGUUGGAUGAGGGAAGGAGGUGUAUUGAUGUGUUUGUACGUGUGUGUUGGAUGGAGGAAGAAGGUGUUUUGUUGUUGGUGUCAGUGUGUGUUGGAUGGGGGAAGGAGGUGUGUUCCUGCGUCUGUAAGUGUGUGUUGGAUGGGGGAAGGAGGUGUAUUGAUGUGUUUAUACGUGUGUGUUGGAUGGAGGAAGAAGGUGUGUUGCUGUGUGUGUACGUGUGUUUUGGAUGGGGGAAGGAGGUGUGUUGCUGCGUCUGUAAGUGUGUGUUGGAUGAGGGAAGGAGGUGUUUUCCUGUGUGUGUACGUGUGUGUUGAGUGAGGGAAGGAGGUGUGUUGCUGUGUGUGUACGUGUGUGUUGGAUGAGGGAAGGAUGUGUGUUGCUGUGUAUGUAUGAGUGUGUUGGAUGGGGGAAGGAGGUGUGUUGCUAUGUGUACGUGUGCGUUAGAUCGGGAAAGGAGGUGUGUUAAGCACUGUGUGUGUACGUGUGUGUUGGCUGAGGGAAGGAGGUGUGUUGCUAUGUGUACGUGUGUUUUGGAUGAGGGAAGGAGGUGUGUUGCUGUGUGUGUACGUGUGUGUUGGAUGAGGGAAGGACGUGUGUCGCUGUGUGUGUACGUGUGUGUUGCAUGGGGGAAGGAGGUGUGUUGCUAUGUGUACGUGUGCGUUAGAUCGGGAAAGGAGGUGUGUUAAGCACUGUGUGUGUAUGU